UGCACGGUGGCGCAGUUGGUAGCACUGUUGCAUGCAGCAAGAAGGUCCUGGGUGUCGAUUCCCGGCCGGGGGUCUUUCUGCAU
Non-coding RNA from Crenichthys baileyi (White River springfish), 83 nucleotides. The record is from the annotation of a GenBank genome assembly. NCBI's taxonomy places the organism in Eukaryota, Metazoa, Chordata, Actinopteri, Cyprinodontiformes, Goodeidae.